GGGUUGUGAGGUUAAGCGACUAAGCGUACACGGUGGAUGCCCCGCAGUCAGAGGCGAUGAAGGGCGUGCUAAUCUGCGAUAAGCGCCGGUAAGGUGAUAUGAACCGUUAUAACCGGCGAUACCCGAAUGGGGAAACCCAGUGUGAUUCGUCACACUAUCAUUAACUGAAUCCAUAGGUUAAUGAGGCGAACCGGGGGAACUGAAACAUCUAAGUACCCCGAGGAAAAGAAAUCAACCGAGAUUCCCCCAGUAGCGGCGAGCGAACGGGGAGGAGCCCAGAGCCUGAAUCAGCAUGUGUGUUAGUGGAAGCGUCUGGAAAGGCGCGCGAUACAGGGUGACAGCCCCGUACACAAAAGCGCAUGUGCUGUGAGCUCGAUGAGUAGGGCGGGACACGUGGUAUCCUGUCUGAAUAUGGGGGGACCAUCCUCCAAGGCUAAAUACUCCUGACUGACCGAUAGUGAACCAGUACCGUGAGGGAAAGGCGAAAAGAACCCCGGCGAGGGGAGUGAAAAAGAACCUGAAACCGUGUACGUACAAGCAGUGGGAGCACCCUUCGGGGUGUGACUGCGUACCUUUGUAUAAUGGGUCAGCGACUUAUAUUCUGUAGCAAGGUUAACCGUAUAGGGGAGCCGCAGGGAAACCGAGUCUUAACCGGGCGUUAAGUUGCAGGGUAUAGACCCGAAACCCGGUGAUUCAGCCAUGGGCAGGUUGAAGGUUGGGUAACACUAACUGGAGGACCGAACCGACUAAUGUUGAAAAAUUAGCGGAUGACCUGUGGCUGGGGUGAAAGGCCAAUCAAACCGGGAGAUAGCUGGUUCUCCCCGAAAGCUAUUUAGGUAGCGCCUCGUGAAUUCAUCUCCGGGGUAGAGCACUGUUUCGGCUAGGGGGCCAUCCCGGCUUACCAACCCGAUGCAAACUGCGAAUACCGGAGAAUGUUAUCACGGGAGACACACGGCGGGUGCUAACGUCCGUCGUGAAGAGGGAAACAACCCAGACCGCCAGCUAAGGUCCCAAAGUCAUGGUUAAGUGGGAAACGAUGUGGGAAGGCCCAGACAGCCGGAUGUUGGCUUAGAAGCAGCCAUCAUUUAAAGAAAGCGUAAUAGCUCACUGGUCGAGUCGGCCUGCGCGGAAGAUGUAACGGGGCUAAACCAUGCACCGAAGCUGCGGCAGCGACGCUUAUGCGUUGUUGGGUAGGGGAGCGUUCUGUAAGCCUGCGAAGGUGGCCUGUGAGGGUUGCUGGAGGUAUCAGAAGUGCGAAUGCUGACAUAAGUAACGAUAAAGCGGGUGAAAAGCCCGCUCGCCGGAAGACCAAGGGUUCCUGUCCAACGUUAAUCGGGGCAGGGUGAGUCGACCCCUAAGGCGAGGCCGAAAGGCGUAGUCGAUGGGAAACGGGUUAAUAUUCCCGUACUUGGUGUUACUGCGAAGGGGGACGGAGAAGGCUAUGUUGGCCGGGCGACGGUUGUCCCGGUUUAAGCGUGUAGGUGUGUGUUCCGGUAAAUCCGGUUCACUUUAACACUGAGGCGUGACGACGAGGCACUACGGUGCUGAAGCAACAAAUGCCCUGCUUCCGGAAAGCCUCUAAGCAUCAGGUAACAUCAAAUCGUACCCCAAACCGACACAGGUGGUCAGGUAGAGAAUACCAAGGCGCUUGAGAGAACUCGGGUGAAGGAACUAGGCAAAAUGGUGCCGUAACUUCGGGAGAAGGCACGCUGACACGUAGGUGAAGUGAUUUACUCAUGGAGCUGAAGUCAGUCGAAGAUACCAGCUGGCUGCAACUGUUUAUUAAAAACACAGCACUGUGCAAACACGAAAGUGGACGUAUACGGUGUGACGCCUGCCCGGUGCCGGAAGGUUAAUUGAUGGGGUCAGCGCAAGCGAAGCUCCUGAUCGAAGCCCCGGUAAACGGCGGCCGUAACUAUAACGGUCCUAAGGUAGCGAAAUUCCUUGUCGGGUAAGUUCCGACCUGCACGAAUGGCGUAAUGAUGGCCAGGCUGUCUCCACCCGAGACUCAGUGAAAUUGAACUCGCUGUGAAGAUGCAGUGUACCCGCGGCAAGACGGAAAGACCCCGUGAACCUUUACUAUAGCUUGACACUGAACAUUGAGCCUUGAUGUGUAGGAUAGGUGGGAGGCUUUGAAGUGUGGACGCCAGUCUGCGUGGAGCCGACCUUGAAAUACCACCCUUUAAUGUUUGAUGUUCUAACGUGGACCCGUGAUCCGGGUUGCGGACAGUGUCUGGUGGGUAGUUUGACUGGGGCGGUCUCCUCCUAAAGAGUAACGGAGGAGCACGAAGGUUGGCUAAUCCUGGUCGGACAUCAGGAGGUUAGUGCAAUGGCAUAAGCCAGCUUGACUGCGAGCGUGACGGCGCGAGCAGGUGCGAAAGCAGGUCAUAGUGAUCCGGUGGUUCUGAAUGGAAGGGCCAUCGCUCAACGGAUAAAAGGUACUCCGGGGAUAACAGGCUGAUACCGCCCAAGAGUUCAUAUCGACGGCGGUGUUUGGCACCUCGAUGUCGGCUCAUCACAUCCGGGGCUGAAGUAGGUCCCAAGGGUAUGGCUGUUCGCCAUUUAAAGUGGUACGCGAGCUGGGUUUAGAACGUCGUGAGACAGUUCGGUCCCUAUCUGCCGUGGGCGCUGGAGAACUGAGGGGGGCUGCUCCUAGUACGAGAGGACCGGAGUGGACGCAUCACUGGUGUUCGGGUUGUCAUGCCAAUGGCACUGCCCGGUAGCUAAAUGCGGAAGAGAUAAGUGCUGAAAGCAUCUAAGCACGAAACUUGCCCCGAGAUGAGUUCUCCCUGAGACUUUAGGUCUCCUGAAGGAACGUUGAAGACGACGACGUUGAUAGGCCGGGUGUGUAAGCGCAGCGAUGCGUUGAGCUAACCGGUACUAAUGAACCGUGAGGCUUAACCUUACAACGCCGAAG
Molecule: ribosomal RNA, 2917 nt
Filed under: Salmonella enterica subsp. enterica serovar Adjame
Lineage: Bacteria; Pseudomonadati; Pseudomonadota; Gammaproteobacteria; Enterobacterales; Enterobacteriaceae
Description: 23S ribosomal RNA
Rfam family: Bacterial large subunit ribosomal RNA
Source: RNAcentral